GCUCGUAGUUGGAUUCCUGGCCUGGGGUAGCCGGUCCGCCUUGCAAAAGGUGCGCACUGUGCGGCCUCGGCCAUCCUUGAGAAGAGCUGUUCUGGCAUUCAGUUGUCGGGGCGGGGAUUCUCGACGUUUACUGUGAAAAAAUCAGAGUGUUCAAAGCAGGCUUACGCCUUGAAUACAUUAGCAUGGAAUAAUGAGAUAGGACCUUGGCGGUCUAUUUUGUUGGUUUGCACGCCGAGGUAAUGAUUAAAAGGGACGGUUGGGGUUCUUCGUAUUCAAUUGUCAGAGGUGAAAUUCUUGGAUUUAUGGAAGACGAACUGCUGCGAAAGCGUCGAACAAGGACGUUCUCAUUAAUCAAGAACGAAAGUUAGGGGAUCGAAGAUGAUUAGAUACCAUCGUAGUCUUAACCAUAAACUAUGCCGAUUCAGGAUUGGCGGUCGUUUGUUCUCGACUCCGUCAGCACUGUAUGAGAAAUCAAAAUCUUUGGGUUCCGGG
This 492-nucleotide ribosomal RNA is filed under the name Pelagococcus sp. RCC5641. RNAcentral's name for it is "SSU rRNA". It matches the Rfam family "Eukaryotic small subunit ribosomal RNA", at positions 626 to 1118 of the family's 1831-position model. Lineage: Eukaryota; Pelagophyceae; Pelagomonadales; Pelagomonadaceae. The record is from RNAcentral.